UACUGCUAUCGAGUUCGACUAAGCCAUGCGAGUCGAAUGUAGCAAUACAUGGCGUACUGCUCAGUAACACGUGACAACCUACCCUUAGGUCGGGGAUAAACCCGGGAAACUGGGUAUAAUACCCGAUAGAUCUCGACUGUUGGAAUGCAUCGAGAUCGAAAGCUCCGGCGCCUAAGGAUGGGUCUGCGGCCUAUCAGGUAGUAGUGGGUGUAGCGUACCUACUAGCCUACGACGGGUACGGGUUGUGAGAGCAAGAGCCCGGAGAUGGAUUCUGAGACACGAAUCCAGGCCCUACGGGGUGCAGCAGGCGCGAAAACUUUACAAUGCUGGAAACAGCGAUAAGGGGACCUCGAGUGCCAGGUUACAAAUCUGGCUGUCGUGAUGCCUAAAAAGCAUUGCAUAGCAAGGGCCGGGCAAGACCGGUGCCAGCCGCCGCGGUAACACCGGCGGCUCGAGUGGUAACCGUUAUUAUUGGGUCUAAAGGGUCUGUAGCCGGCCGGAUAAGUCUCUUGGGAAAUCCAGCAGCUCAACUGUUGGGCUUUCAGGAGAUACUGUCUGGCUCGAGGCCGGGAGAGGUGAGAGGUACUUCAGGGGUAGGGGUGAAAUCUUGUAAUCCUUGAAGGACCACCAGUGGCGAAGGCGUCUCACCAGAACGGACCUGACGGCAAGGGACGAAAGCUAGGGGCACGAACCGGAUUAGAUACCCGGGUAGUCCUAGCCGUAAACGAUACUCGCUAGGUGUCGGCCACGGUGCGACCGUUGUCGGUGCCGUAGGGAAGCCGUGAAGCGAGCCACCUGGGAAGUACGGCCGCAAGGCUGAAACUUAAAGGAAUUGGCGGGGGAGCACCACAACGGGUGGAGCUUGCGGUUUAAUUGGAUUCAACGCCGG
This 889-nucleotide ribosomal RNA is filed under the name uncultured archaeon. Its description in RNAcentral is "bacterial SSU rRNA". It matches the Rfam family "Archaeal small subunit ribosomal RNA", at positions 25 to 921 of the family's 1478-position model. The record is from RNAcentral.